UCAGAUGUCUGUAAGGCACACAAGGAUUCGUUCCCACCUUUUAAAGUAUAUAUGUUCUUUGUCAGCAUGAGAAUCUAAAUCGAUGUCAGUCUGUGCAAAUCAAUUUUACUCCUAUCAUCUUAAUAGCUAUUGGGAUGAAACUUGAUAUUUAAGCUACCUGUGACCCGGGAAAAAGUUAGAGUAUCCCCAUGAAAUUUACUAAUUUGAGGGAUGGUUUGGAACGUUUUGUCUGUGCAUUGAUGUAUUGAGUUACAGAAAAAGAACAUGUACAAAUAUUAUGGUCAAGGACUGCAAAGCUGUAAAAACUUCGGCACACCCGAAGUUAUCAUCUUUUGUAUUUUUAAGAUUAAUUUCAUGUAAAAUUUUAUUGAAUUUAAAAGAUAGUUUUGUUUGAGAUGAUA
This is a long non-coding RNA of Drosophila willistoni, 401 nucleotides long. RefSeq lists it as uncharacterized. The transcript has 2 exons. Lineage: Eukaryota; Metazoa; Arthropoda; Insecta; Diptera; Drosophilidae. The record is from RefSeq and is a predicted model, not a curated record.